UUUUUUUUUUUUUGGAAGAAUUUUACAAUCAAUUCUCAUUGAGAAUUAUAAGUAAAUUAUUUUAGCGUGGUACUAUAACAGGAAUAAUAAGUGAUGUUUGAUUCUAGCUGAAUCUAAUGUUUAAAUCUAGAGGGUAAUGUCCUUUUAGCCUGCGGAUCUGACCUGUCAUGUCUAGUAAUCGAGUAAUUAGUGGGUUUUGGUGGUUGUUAAUUCUUAUGUUAUAUCUAUUGCUGAAUUUGGAUAUUUCUUCUUUAACUGUGGGUAUCUUAAGGUCGCGAUGUAUUGUUUCGUUGGUAACAUACCAAAGUGCGUCUAUUAAGAAUCUUAGAGUUUUUGAUUGGAAUCGUUGGAGAAUUUCUAUGUUGGAAUUACUCGUUGUUCCCCAUAGUUGGAUCCCAUAGAUCCAAACAGAUUUUAAUAUGUCUUCAGAUAGCAUUAUUUUACUCUGCAUGUUUAAGUUGGAGCAUCUACCAAUGAGCCAGUAGAAUCUUUUUAGUUUUGAUUUCAGUUGUUUAGAUUUAUCUACGAUGUGCCGUUUCCAUGUCAUUCUUCUGUCCACAGUCAUGCUCAGAUAUCUGACUGACUCUUCGUUUGGAAUUGGAGCAUUAAGCAUCGUUGAAUCCCAUAGGUCCAAACAGGUUUUAAUAUGGUUUUAUAUAGCAUUAUUUUACUCUGCAUGUUUAAGUUGGACCAUCUACCAAUGAGCCAGUAGAAUCUUUUUAGUUUUGAUUUCAGUAAUUUAGAUUUAUCUACGAUGAUGCGGCGGCACUCGGCGACAAUGUAUAUCACCAAAGCGAAAUGCCUAAUGAGUCAUCAAUAUCCCAACGGUCCUUCCGCCGAAUGUUCGAGAAGAAGGCGUGCGUGGACGCCUAGCAAACGCGUGGAUAGUGGGUAUAUUGAGGUAUGACAAAGGAAAAAUAAACGGAUCCGAUCGAAAGUCAAGUUGUAAGAGCUUCAGUCUUGGAAAGUCACGGCUGGAGUUCGGAAGUAAACUGUCGUUAGUGUAAGCCCAAGUGUUAGGAAAUAAAUUCUCUCUUUUUUAUUUUCAUCUGCGAUUUCUUCUUUUUAUUUUAUUUUACGUGACAGUACAUUGGGCAUGUCGGCCUUACGCUUUGAUGGUAUAGCGCGUUGUGUUCCAUAGUGGAAUGCCGCCACAAUUACAAUUAUCUACGUACCAUAUAUUUAGAGACAAUUAUCAUGUUUCUCUCCAUAUGAUGCUAGCCCGGCGUUAACGCGGAAUUACUCGUUGAAAUUCAAUUAUUAGAUGCGAAAUCGAUCGAAAGAACGAAAGCUUCUUGCCACGUGACAAGUCAUCAGCAUGUUGAUCGCUGCAUGGAAGAAUACUGGUAUCGAACAAUACGUCCAUUUUCUGCGUGGCCGUGCAUUGUUCGUUCAGCGCG
Molecule: unclassified non-coding RNA, 1400 nt
Filed under: Bombus terrestris (buff-tailed bumblebee)
Lineage: Eukaryota; Metazoa; Arthropoda; Insecta; Hymenoptera; Apidae
Description: misc RNA ENSBTSG00005033133.1
Source: RNAcentral